Molecule: ribosomal RNA, 427 nt
Filed under: uncultured bacterium
Lineage: Bacteria
Description: bacterial SSU rRNA
Rfam family: Bacterial small subunit ribosomal RNA
Source: RNAcentral
UAGGGAAUAUUGGACAAUGGGGGCAACCCUGAUCCAGCCAUGCCGCGUGAGUGAAGAAGGCCCUCGGGUUGUAAAGCUCUUUUGUCCGGAAAGAAAAGCUUCGGGUUAAUACCCCGGGGUUCUGACGGUACCGGAAGAAUAAGCACCGGCUAACUUCGUGCCAGCAGCCGCGGUAAUACGAAGGGUGCAAGCGUUACUCGGAAUUACUGGGCGUAAAGCGUGCGUAGGUGGUUGUUUAAGUCUGAUGUGAAAGCCCUGGGCUCAACCUGGGAAUGGCAUUGGAAACUGGGCAGCUAGAGUGCGGUAGAGGGUAGUGGAAUUCCCGGUGUAGCAGUAAAAUGCGUAGAGAUCGGGAGGAACAUCUGUGGCGAAGGCGACUGCCUGGACCAGCACUGACACUGAGGCACGAAAGCGUGGGGAGCAAACA